UACGUAGGUGGCGAGCGUUGUCCGGAUUUACUGGGCGUAAAGAGCGCGCAGGCGGUCGUUCAAGUCGCGUGUGAAAGCCCCCGGCUCAACUGGGGAGGGUCACGCGAUACUGAUCGACUCGAAGGCAGGAGAGGGAAGCGGAAUUCCCGGUGUAGUGGUGAAAUGCGUAGAUAUCGGGAGGAACACCAGUGGCGAAGGCGGCUUUCUGGCCUGUUCUUGACGCUGAGGCGCGAAAGCUAGGGUAGCAAACGGG
This 253-nucleotide ribosomal RNA is filed under the name uncultured bacterium. Its description in RNAcentral is "partial 16S ribosomal RNA". It matches the Rfam family "Bacterial small subunit ribosomal RNA", at positions 524 to 776 of the family's 1533-position model. The record is from RNAcentral.